AAUCAACGCUGGCGGCGUGCCUCAGACAUGCAAGUCGAACGCGAAAGCUCCCUUCGGGGAGCAAGUAGAGUGGCGCACGGGUGAGUAACACGUAGGUAAUCUACCUUUGGAUGGGGAAUAACAACCGGAAACGGUUGCUAAUACCGCAUAAUGCAGCGGCACCUAAUGGUGACAGUUGUUAAAGCGGGGGAUCGCAAGACCUCGCGUCUGAAGAGGAGCCUGCGGCAGAUUAGCUAGUUGGUAAGGUAACGGCUUACCAAGGCGAUGAUCUGUAGCCGGCCUGAGAGGGCGGUCGGCCACACUGACACUGACAUACGGGUCAGACUCCUACGGGAGGCAGCAGUCGGGAAUUUUGGGCAAUGGGCGAAAGCCUGACCCAGCAACGCCGCGUGAAGGAUGAAAUCCCUCGGGAUGUAAACUUCGCAAGAACGGGAAGAAUAAGUCGGUGUAAAUACCACCGACGAUGACGGUACUGUUUGUAAGCUCCGGCUAACUCCGUGCCAGCACG
This 508-nucleotide ribosomal RNA is filed under the name uncultured bacterium. RNAcentral's name for it is "bacterial SSU rRNA". It matches the Rfam family "Bacterial small subunit ribosomal RNA", at positions 32 to 515 of the family's 1533-position model. The record is from RNAcentral.